RNAcentral lists this ribosomal RNA (256 nucleotides) under uncultured bacterium. RNAcentral describes it as "partial 16S ribosomal RNA". It matches the Rfam family "Bacterial small subunit ribosomal RNA", at positions 15 to 252 of the family's 1533-position model. The record is from RNAcentral.
GAUCCUGGCUCAGGAUGAACGCUGGCGGCGUGCUUAACACAUGCAGGUCGAACGGAACUACUUUAAUGAGAUUCUUCGGAAAGGAUUUGAUUUAGUUUAGUGGCGGACGGGUGAGUAACGCGUGGGUAACCUGCCUCAUACAGGGGGAUAACAGUUGGAAACGGCUGUUAAUACCGCAUAAGCGCACAGUACCGCAUGGUACCGUGUGAAAAACUCCGGUGGUAUGAGAUGGACCCGCGUCUAAUUAGCUGGUUGG